Molecule: microRNA precursor, 98 nt
Filed under: Morus notabilis
Lineage: Eukaryota; Viridiplantae; Streptophyta; Magnoliopsida; Rosales; Moraceae
Description: MIR319 microRNA precursor family
Rfam family: MIR319 microRNA precursor family
Source: Rfam by way of RNAcentral
CAGAAAUGGGAUUUCCUUGCAGUCCAAAAACAUGAACUGAAUGAUCAUUGGAUGCAAUUUUGUUCUUUGUUUUGGACUGAAGGGAGCUCCUAAUUCUU